CGAAAAUAAAAAAAAAAAAAUCUUAACUUUUUUGGUUUUACAGAUGUUGGUGGAAUUGAUUGAAAUCUUGAUUCCUCCCUGGUUUGAACUGCUCCUUUUUCCCCCUUGGUGGAAUGUGCUGGUACCCCCUUGGUGGCUUUCCGGAAAAACUAUUCCGAUGUCUCCUUUCCCAGGUAUUUCAAGAAGUUUUUUGGCUGUAAUCACCCAUAAAUUGAAUAUUUUGGAUUUGGAGGUUAUGUUUCGUUUUUUGUGUGGCCUCUUUUCUCUUUUUAACUAAAUACAAGAAUAUUUCUUAAUCUACGACGGAAAUACGGACGGAUUUAUCAUUGAUUAAAACAUUUUUACAAAUAACGAAAUCAAUGAGAACUAUAACAAACUUUUAUGAAAUUUUUCAACAAUCAGCUUUAACUAUCCUCGGUAUAUCAACUUUGAUAUCAAUACGUGAGUUGUUCUUUAUAUUUUAAUUAUAAUAUUAAUUUGAACGAUUUGAAGAAGUACUAAUAAACUCUCUAGGCUCUCGAUUUACAAGGAUUUUUCUACGGAAUGUCAUUAUUUCCUCUUUAUUGUAAUUAUUUCUUAUAACAAAACUAUUGUUUAUUAAUUAAUUAAUAAAAUUAUGAGUGGAACCCAA
Molecule: long non-coding RNA, 631 nt
Organism: Onthophagus taurus
Lineage: Eukaryota; Metazoa; Arthropoda; Insecta; Coleoptera; Scarabaeidae
Source: RefSeq, a predicted model, not a curated record